GAUGAACGCUGGCGGCGUGCCUAAUACAUGCAAGUCGAGCGAACAGACGAGGAGCUUGCUCCUUUGACGUUAGCGGCGGACGGGUGAGUAACACGUAGGUAACCUACCUAUAAGACUGGGAUAACUUCGGGAAACCGGAGCUAAUACCGGAUAAUAUUUCGAACCGCAUGGUUCAAUAGUGAAAGAUGGCUUUGCUAUCACUUAUAGAUGGACCUGCGCCGUAUUAGCUAGUUGGUAAGGUAACGGCUUACCAAGGCAACGAUGCGUAGCCGACCUGAGAGGGUGAUCGGCCACACUGGAACUGAGACACGGUCCAGACUCCUACGGGAGGCAGCAGUAGGGAAUCUUCCGCAAUGGGCGAAAGCCUGACGGAGCAACGCCGCGUGAGUGAUGAAGGUCUUCGGAUCGUAAAACUCUGUUAUUAGGGAAGAACAAACGUGUAAGUAACUGUGCACGUCUUGACGGUACCUAAUCAGAAAGCCACGGCUAACUACGUG
This 497-nucleotide ribosomal RNA is filed under the name uncultured bacterium. RNAcentral describes it as "partial 16S ribosomal RNA". It matches the Rfam family "Bacterial small subunit ribosomal RNA", at positions 28 to 507 of the family's 1533-position model. The record is from RNAcentral.